Molecule: ribosomal RNA, 194 nt
Filed under: uncultured Weissella sp.
Lineage: Bacteria; Bacillati; Bacillota; Bacilli; Lactobacillales; Lactobacillaceae
Description: partial 16S ribosomal RNA
Rfam family: Bacterial small subunit ribosomal RNA
Source: RNAcentral
CCUACGGGAGGCAGCAGUAGGGAAUCUUCCACAAUGGGCGCAAGCCUGAUGGAGCAACACCGCGUGUGUGAUGAAGGGUUUCGGCUCGUAAAACACUGUUAUAAGAGAAGAACGGCACUGAGAGUAACUGUUCAGUGUGUGACGGUAUCUUACCAGAAAGGAACGGCUAAAUACGUGCCAGCAGCCGCGGUAAU